RNAcentral lists this ribosomal RNA (765 nucleotides) under uncultured bacterium. RNAcentral describes it as "bacterial SSU rRNA". It matches the Rfam family "Bacterial small subunit ribosomal RNA", at positions 28 to 776 of the family's 1533-position model. The record is from RNAcentral.
AUUGAACGCUGGCGGCAGGCCUAACACAUGCAAGUCGAGCGGCAGCGACUUAACUGAACCUUCGGGGAACGUUAAGGGCGGCGAGCGGCGGACGGGUGAGUAAUGCCUGGGAAUAUGCCCUGAUGUGGGGGAUAACUAUUGGAAACGAUAGCUAAUACCGCAUAAUCUCUUCGGAGCAAAGAGGGGGACCUUCGGGCCUCUCGCGUCAGGAUUAGCCCAGGUGGGAUUAGCUUGUUGGUGAGGUAAUGGCUCACCAAGGCUACGAUCCCUAGCUGGUCUGAGAGGAUGAUCAGCCACACUGGAACUGAGACACGGUCCAGACUCCUACGGGAGGCAGCAGUGGGGAAUAUUGCACAAUGGGGGAAACCCUGAUGCAGCCAUGCCGCGUGUGUGAAGAAGGCCUUCGGGUUGUAAAGCACUUUCAGUAGGGAGGAAGGUAGUGUAGUUAACACCUGCAUUAUUUGACGUUACCUACAGAAGAAGCACCGGCUAACUCCGUGCCAGCAGCCGCGGUAAUACGGAGGGUGCGAGCGUUAAUCGGAAUUACUGGGCGUAAAGCGCAUGCAGGCGGCCUGUUAAGUCAGAUGUGAAAGCCCGGGGCUUAACCUCGGAAUUGCAUUUGAAACUGGCAGGCUAGAGUCUUGUAGAGGGGGGUAGAAUUUCAGGUGUAGCGGUGAAAUGCGUAGAGAUCUGAAGGAAUACCAGUGGCGAAGGCGGCCCCCUAAAGACUGACGCUCAGAUGCGAAAGCGUGGGGAGCAAACAGG